UUUCAGGUGCGCCGGAUUUAGCCAGUUUUUCAGCAGUGGCAAAUGUGUGAUCCAACUGAGUGAGCCACUCCUGAAGUAUAGGCCUAGGAGAGAUCUUGUUCAAUCUUUACUUCAUGAGAUGAUUCAUGCGUUUCUGUAUUUAACUGGGAUCUUUGAAACAACGGAGCAUGGGCCAGAGUUCCUGUCACAUAUGGAACGUAUUAACUCAGCAGCAGGUUGCAGAAUUUCUCUUCAACAUAACUUCAAAGACGAAGUUAGUCAUUAUGACACCAGUUGGUAUCGCUGCAACGGACCCUGCCAAGCAAAAAAGCCAUACUACGGAUUUUAUGUCCAUCUAACUAAAAAUGCGCCAUCUUGGUGGGGCAACCAUAAAGCUGUGUGUGAUGGGAAAUUUAGAAAAGGACCACGUCCUCCGUUGUCCAUGCUGCGAGGGAAAGCACCUAAAUCAGUGCGAUAAGAACUUAUCUCUAUACCAUCUUGGAGGGAUCGUCAUCCUCAUAAUGACAAGGAUCCCUUCACACAAGAGAUUUAAAAGCAAUUCCUAAUCGCUGCCUCAAUCUCGUAACCUGGAUAAAUAUAAACCUAUUGACACUAUAUACUGAAAAGCAGGAGCCCAUGAGGAACCUGAUGGAGCCGUAUACAAAAUCAUCUGCAUCACCGACUGAACCUAAAACAGUGACUCAUAAGCUCAUGGCUAUUAAAAUAAGGCCAUAUACAAAAUAUUCAGAUAGUUCUAGAUUACAAACUAACUACCAAAAGUUACCCCUUAGUCACUAUAUGUAAAAUCCCAAUUGAAGUAUA
Long non-coding RNA from Bombina bombina (fire-bellied toad), 801 nucleotides. RefSeq lists it as uncharacterized. The record is from RefSeq and is a predicted model, not a curated record. Lineage: Eukaryota; Metazoa; Chordata; Amphibia; Anura; Bombinatoridae. The transcript is spliced from 4 exons.